Triticum aestivum (bread wheat) is the source of this 135-nucleotide non-coding RNA. Lineage: Eukaryota; Viridiplantae; Streptophyta; Magnoliopsida; Poales; Poaceae. The record is from Rfam.
CAAAUACUCCCUUCGUUUGGAAAUACUUGUCAUCAAAAUGGAUAAAAGGAAAUGUAUCUAGACGUAUUUUAGUUUUAGAUACAUCUCUUUUUAUCCAUUUUGAUGACAAGUAUUUUCGGACGGAGGGAGUAGAAA